GUGAACGCUGGCGGUAGGCCUUACACAUGCCAGUCGAACGGCAGCACAGUAAGAGCUUGCUCUUACGGGUGGCGAGUGGCGGACGGGUGAGGAAUACAUCGGAAUCUACUUUUUCGUGGGGGAUAACGUAGGGAAACUUACGCUAAUACCGCAUACGACCUACGGGUGAAAGCAGGGGAUCUUCGGACCUUGCGCGAUUGAAUGAGCCGAUGUCGGAUUAGCUAGUUGGCGGGGUAAAGGCCCACCAAGGCGACGAUCCGUAGCUGGUCUGAGAGGAUGAUCAGCCACACUGGAACUGAGACACGGUCCAGACUCCUACGGGAGGCAGCAGUGGGGAAUAUUGGACAAUGGGCGCAAGCCUGAUCCAGCCAUACCGCGUGGGUGAAGAAGGCCUUCGGGUUGUAAAGCCCUUUUGUUGGGAAAGAAAAGCAGCAGGUUAAUACCCCGCUGUUCUGACGGUACCCAAAGAAUAAGCACCGGCUAACUUCGUG
RNAcentral lists this ribosomal RNA (491 nucleotides) under uncultured bacterium. RNAcentral's name for it is "partial 16S ribosomal RNA". It matches the Rfam family "Bacterial small subunit ribosomal RNA", at positions 29 to 507 of the family's 1533-position model. The record is from RNAcentral.